Non-coding RNA from Rattus norvegicus (Norway rat), 671 nucleotides. The record is from RefSeq and is a predicted model, not a curated record. Lineage: Eukaryota; Metazoa; Chordata; Mammalia; Rodentia; Muridae.
GUGGCCCUGUUGGAGUAGGUGUGGCCUUGUUGAAGUAGGUGUGGCCCUGUUGGAGUAGGUGUGGCCCUGUUGGAGUAGGUAUGGCCCUGUUGAAGUAGGUAUGGUCCUGUUGAAGUAGGUGUGUCACUAUGAAAGUAUCUUUAAGACCCUCAUUCUAGCUGCCUGGAAGCCAGUAUUCUGCUAGCAGCCUUCAGAUGAAGAUGUAGAACAGUCCAGCACCAUGCCUGCCUGGAUUCUGCCAUGUGGGAACCUUUAUGAUACUGGACUGACCCUCUGAACCUCAGCAUUUGUUUGCCAGGAUCGAAUGAGACCAAUCUCCCAGGGGCCUUCUACGCCUAUGAGAAUCACGCUUUCCCAAAGCUGCAUCAUACUCGUUUUGAGUGAUCGUUGUUUGUGAAUCAAAACAUGAAGGAGCAGAUGAACUUUUGCUUGUUUUAAAAGCAGUCAGCGGGCCAUGGAGCACACGGGAGCUCUCCAUCUGCUUCUUGAUCUCGGACGUAAUUCCAAUCAUCUUCCCUGCAAAUGAUGGUGGGGAUUGGAGCAUCUGGUGGUAGGCAAAGGAAUGCAUUGCUCUCUGGUGUGUGUUUCCAUAUUAGUUACUGAAAACAAAAAAAGAUAAAAAUAGGAAGAUUGCGUGUAUAAAUAAAGAACUCGUAUGUUUUUUCUCUCCA